This 210-nucleotide long non-coding RNA is filed under the name Elaeis guineensis (African oil palm). Its description in RNAcentral is "long non-coding RNA (EGUI_LNC067575)". The record is from RNAcentral. Lineage: Eukaryota; Viridiplantae; Streptophyta; Magnoliopsida; Arecales; Arecaceae.
CAGUCUUCUACAAGAACCGGACUCCGUCCGAACUUCCAUAGCGAAUAGAUUUUGGAUGAGCUUCUAGAACAGACGGCUACAACAGCUGGAUUUCUACAACGAUCGAUCACCUCCGGUGUCUGCCGAACCUCCCCAGCCAUCAGCUUUCAAUAGCAUCAGCCAGACUUUCACAACGCCAUCCAGACUUCCACAGGAUCCCCAGACUCCUCU